UCGACGGUAACAGGAAGAAGCUUGCUUCUUUGCUGACGAGUGGCGGACGGGUGAGUAAUGUCUGGGAAACUGCCUGAUGGAGGGGGAUAACUACUGGAAACGGUAGCUAAUACCGCAUAACGUCGCAAGACCAAAGAGGGGGACCUUCGGGCCUCUUGCCAUCGGAUGUGCCCAGAUGGGAUUAGCUAGUAGGUGGGGUAACGGCUCACCUAGGCGACGAUCCCUAGCUGGUCUGAGAGGAUGACCAGCCACACUGGAACUGAGACACGGUCCAGACUCCUACGGGAGGCAGCAGUGGGGAAUAUUGCACAAUGGGCGCAAGCCUGAUGCAGCCAUGCCGCGUGUAUGAAGAAGGCCUUCGGGUUGUAAAGUACUUUCAGCGGGGAGGAAGGGAGUAAAGUUUAUACCUUUGCUCAUUGAUGUUACCCGCAGAAGAAGCACCGGCUAACUCC
This 452-nucleotide ribosomal RNA is filed under the name uncultured bacterium. Its description in RNAcentral is "bacterial SSU rRNA". It matches the Rfam family "Bacterial small subunit ribosomal RNA", at positions 62 to 504 of the family's 1533-position model. The record is from RNAcentral.